Molecule: ribosomal RNA, 330 nt
Filed under: uncultured eukaryote
Lineage: Eukaryota
Description: partial 18S ribosomal RNA
Rfam family: Eukaryotic small subunit ribosomal RNA
Source: RNAcentral
CCCUUAGAUGUUCGGGGCCGCACGCGCGCUACACUGAAGGAAUCAGCACGUCUUUCUCCUUGUCCGAAAGGACUGGGUAACCCGCUGAACCUCCUUCGUGCUAGGGAUUGGGGCUUGUAAUUCUUCCCCAUGAACGAGGAAUUCCCAGUAAGCGCGAGUCAUAAGCUCGCGUUGAUUACGUCCCUGCCCUUUGUACACACCGCCCGUCGCGACUACCGAUUGGAUGGUUUAGUGAGAUCCUCGGAUUGGUCCCGGCGCGGCCUCUGGUCGUGCCGGAGUGCCGAAAAGAAUGUCGAACUUGAUCAUCUAGAGGAAGUAAAAGUCGUAACA